This 508-nucleotide ribosomal RNA is filed under the name uncultured bacterium. Its description in RNAcentral is "bacterial SSU rRNA". It matches the Rfam family "Bacterial small subunit ribosomal RNA", at positions 9 to 518 of the family's 1533-position model. The record is from RNAcentral.
AGAAUUGAUCUUGGUCAGGACGAACGCUGGCGGCGUGCCUAACACAUGCAAGUCGAGCGGAGAUGAUGUGAGGAGGUUUCGGAUGGAAUCACAUUAUUUAGCGGCGGACGGGUGAGUAACGCGUGAGCGACCAACCUUGCACAGGGGGAUAACGGACCGAAAGGUUCACUAAUACCGCAUGAGACCACAGUGUUGCAUGACACAGGGGUCAAAGGAGCAAUCCGGUGCAAGACGGGCUCGCGUCCGAUUAGGUAGUUGGUGGGUAACGGCCCACCAAGCCUAUGAUCGGUAGCCGACCUGAGAGGGUGAUCGGCCACAUUGGAACUGAGAUACGGUCCAAACUCCUACGGGAGGCAGCAGUGGGGAAUAUUGGGCAAUGGGGGAAACCCUGACCCAGCAACGCCGCGUGAAGGAAGAAGGUUUUCGGAUUGUAAACUUCUGUCCUUGGUGAAGAGAAGAAGACGGUAGCCAAGGAGGAAGCCCCGGCUAACUACGUGCCAGCCGCCGC